Molecule: ribosomal RNA, 301 nt
Filed under: uncultured bacterium
Lineage: Bacteria
Description: partial 16S ribosomal RNA
Rfam family: Bacterial small subunit ribosomal RNA
Source: RNAcentral
CAGUCGCCGCGGGAAUACGUAGGGUGCGAGCGUUAAUCGGAAUUACUGGGCGUAAAGCGAGCGCAGACGGUUACUUAAGCAGGAUGUGAAAUCCCCGGGCUCAACCUGGGAACUGCGUUCUGAACUGGGUGACUAGAGUGUGUCAGAGGGAGGUAGAAUUCCACGUGUAGCAGUGAAAUGCGUAGAGAUGUGGAGGAAUACCGAUGGCGAAGGCAGCCUCCUGGGAUAACACUGACGUUCGUGCUCGAAAGCGUGGGUAGCAAACAGGAUUAGAUACCCCUGUAGUCCCUGUCUCUUAUAC